CAACCCGGCAACGGGAGCGGUCCGCGUGACUCCGCUGAGGAGUACGACAUAGGGCGGAAACCGGGGAAGGCGGUGGGAAUCCGUCGCUGCCCCGCAUCUGUGACCGGAACGAAACCCGCGGCAUCGCCACUGGGGGAGGGAAUUUCCCCCCGGGAAGGCGCGGGGAGUAGGAGGCCGGAAGCCAGAAGACCCGGGCCGCUCGAUAUCCAAAACG
Molecule: non-coding RNA, 214 nt
Filed under: Deltaproteobacteria bacterium
Lineage: Bacteria; Pseudomonadati; Myxococcota; Myxococcia
Source: RNAcentral